This 518-nucleotide unclassified non-coding RNA is filed under the name uncultured Pezicula. RNAcentral's name for it is "sequence contains ITS1, 5.8S rRNA gene, ITS2". Lineage: Eukaryota; Fungi; Ascomycota; Leotiomycetes; Helotiales; Dermateaceae. The record is from RNAcentral.
UUAAGUUCAGCGGGUAUCCCUACCUGAUCCGAGGUCGACCUUACGAUGGGGUUUUCACGGCGUCGGACGCCCCUCUCCGCCGGCGAUUUGGUGUGCCACAACGCUGGGGUGAGUGCGUCCCCGCCGGGGACAUUGGGGCCCGGGUCUCCCCGUGGCCCAAGACCAAGCCAGGCUUGAUGGGUGUAAUGACGCUCGAACAGGCAUGCCCCCCGGAGUACCAGGGGGCGCAAUGUGCGUUCAAAGAUUCGAUGAUUCACUGAAUUCUGCAAUUCACAUUACUUAUCGCAUUUCGCUGCGUUCUUCAUCGAUGCCAGAACCAAGAGAUCCGUUGUUGAAAGUUUUAACUAUUAUAUAGUACUCAGACGACACUAACAUUCAGGUUUGGGAGUCCUCUGGCGGGCGCGCCCUAGCCGGAGCCAGGGGCAGGGCCGGAGCCCCGCGGCCCGCCAAAGCAACGAAGGUAUAACGACACAGGGUGGGAGGUCUACCCAAAGGGCAGAGUCUCUGUAAUGAUCCCU